UGAGCGCUGGCGGCGUGCCUAAUACAUGCAAGUCGAGCGAACAGACGAGGAGCUUGCUCCUUUGACGUUAGCGGCGGACGGGUGAGUAACACGUGGAUAACCUACCUAUAAGACUGGGAUAACUUCGGGAAACCGGAGCUAAUACCGGAUAACAUGUUGAACCGCAUGGUUCAACAGUGAAAGACGGUCUUGCUGUCACUUAUAGAUGGAUCCGCGCCGCAUUAGCUAGUUGGUAAGGUAACGGCUUACCAAGGCAACGAUGCGUAGCCGACCUGAGAGGGUGAUCGGCCACACUGGAACUGAGACACGGUCCAGACUCCUACGGGAGGCAGCAGUAGGGAAUCUUCCGCAAUGGGCGAAAGCCUGACGGAGCGACGCCGCGUGAGUGAAGAAGGUCUUCGGAUCGUAAAACUCUGUUAUUAGGGAAGAACAAAUGUGUAAGUAACUAUGCACGUCUUGACGGUACCUAAUCAGAAAGCCACGGCUAACUACGUG
This 495-nucleotide ribosomal RNA is filed under the name uncultured bacterium. Its description in RNAcentral is "partial 16S ribosomal RNA". It matches the Rfam family "Bacterial small subunit ribosomal RNA", at positions 30 to 507 of the family's 1533-position model. The record is from RNAcentral.